Molecule: ribosomal RNA, 628 nt
Filed under: Symbiodinium sp. B403/1
Lineage: Eukaryota; Dinophyceae; Suessiales; Symbiodiniaceae
Description: LSU rRNA
Rfam family: Eukaryotic large subunit ribosomal RNA
Source: RNAcentral
GCAUAUAAGUAAGCGGAGGAAAUGGAACUAAAUAGGAUUCCCUCAGUNAUGGCGAAUGAACAGGGAUGAGCUCAGGCUGGAAACCGAUUCAUCUGUGUCGGGCUGUAGCCUGCAGGCAUAGCGCUAUCGGCGGCUCGAGCGCAAGCCUCUUGGAAUAGAGCGUGUGCCCGGGUGAGAAUCCUGCAUUUCGCUCGAUGUCCGCUGUCCACAGUGCUUGUUCUUAGAGUCACGCUCCUCGGAAUUGGAGCGUAAAUCAGGUGGUAAGUUUCAUCCAAAGCUAAAUAGAAGCUCGAGACCAAUAGCAAACAAGUACCAUGAGGGAAAGAUGAAAAGGACUUUGGAAAGAGAGUUAAAAGUGUUUGAAAUUGCUGAGAGCGAAGCGAACGGAGCCACAUGUCGUGCUGAGAUUGCUGUGGGUCUUUGUGAGCCUUGAGCAUGUAAGCGCAAGCUGAGCAUUUGCCUGCAGUGUUUCUCAGCAUGCGAGUCAUUAGCUACAUUUGUUUGAGGAUGGCCUUCAGUUCACAUGGUACACUUGUUAGUGUGCCUCUGUGCGGUGUGGGACUCAGACAGGUGUGGCUUGUUGACCCAGUGGUUUUUUUCGACCCGUCUUGAAACACGGACCAAGGAG